This 363-nucleotide RNase P RNA is filed under the name Micavibrio sp. Its description in RNAcentral is "RNase P RNA component class A". It matches the Rfam family "Bacterial RNase P class A". From Rfam's summary of the family: Ribonuclease P (RNase P) is a ubiquitous endoribonuclease, found in archaea, bacteria and eukarya as well as chloroplasts and mitochondria. Its best characterised activity is the generation of mature 5'-ends of tRNAs by cleaving the 5'-leader elements of precursor-tRNAs. Cellular RNase Ps are ribonucleoproteins. Lineage: Bacteria; Pseudomonadati; Bdellovibrionota; Bdellovibrionia; Bdellovibrionales; Pseudobdellovibrionaceae. The record is from RNAcentral.
UCAGAAGGUUGGAUAAUCGCGUGCUUAUGGUACGAGGAAAGUCCGGGCUUCAGAGAAAAGUGAUGCCGGGUAACGCCCGGGCGGCCAUGAAGGAAUUUAAGGCUGACGGAUAGUGCAACAGAAAACAGACCGCCGAAACGAUUAGGUCGUGGUAAGGAUGAAACGGUGCGGUAAGAGCGCACCACGCUUUUGGUAACAAAAGUGGUAUUGGUAAACCCCAUCUGAAGCAAGAUCAAAUAGGCACUGCUUAUGCCGUUUUUCUCCGGUGCAGUGCGGGUAGAUUGCUUGAGCUGUUUGGUAACAACCAGCCUAGAUGAAUGAUUAUCUGAAAAACAGAACCCGGCUUAUAGGCCUUCUGACUAU